This 1021-nucleotide ribosomal RNA is filed under the name uncultured bacterium. RNAcentral describes it as "bacterial SSU rRNA". It matches the Rfam family "Bacterial small subunit ribosomal RNA", at positions 438 to 1482 of the family's 1533-position model. The record is from RNAcentral.
CUCAGGGAAGAAUAAUGACGGUACCUGGGGAAUAAGUCUUGGCUAACUACGUGCCAGCAGCCGCGGUAAUACGUAGGAGGCGAGCGUUAUCCGGAUUUACUGGGCGUAAAGAGGGCGUAGGCAGUUUUUCAAGUCGAUUGUAAAAUCUCCCGGCUUAACUGGGAGGAGCCAGUCGAUACUGUUAGACUAGAGAACAGCAGGGGGAGGUGGAAUUCCCGGUGUAGUGGUGAAAUGUGUAGAUAUCGGGAGGAACACCAGUGGCGAAAGCGGCCUCCUAGCUGUUUCUGACGCUGAGUCCGAAAGCGUGGGGAGCAAACAGAUCAGAUACCCUGGUAGUCCACGCUGUAACGAUGGACACUAGUAUAGGGAGUAUCGACCCUCUCUGUGCCGAAGCUAACGCAUUAAGUGUCCCGCCUGGGGAGUACGGCCGCAAGGCUAAAACUCAAAGGAAUUGACGGGGGCCCGCACAAGCAGCGGAGCGUGUGGUUUAAUUCGAUGCAACGCGAAGAACCUUACCAAGGCUUGACAUGUCGGAAGUAGCGACCCGAAAGGGAAGCCACCUGUUGAGUCAGGAACCGUCACAGGUGCUGCAUGGCUGUCGUCAGCUCGUGCUGUGAAGUGUUAGGUUAAGUCCUGUAACGAGCGCAACCCUCGUUGCCAGUUGUUUUCUCUGGCGAGACUGCCCUGCAAAAUGGGGAGGAAGGUGGGGAUGACGUCAAGUCAGCACGGCCCUUAUGCCUUGGGCUACACACACGCUACAAUGGGUGGUACAAUGGGUAGCAAUAGAGCAAUCUGGAGCCAAUCCUGUAAAGCCAUCCUCAGUUCGGAUUGCAGGCUGAAACCCGCCUGCAUGAAGUCGGAGUUGCUAGUAACCGCAGGUCAGCAUACUGCGGUGAAUACGUUCUCGGGCCUUGUACACACCGCCCGUCACGUCAUGAAAGUUGGCAACACCUGAAGUCGAUGGGCUAACCUCGACUUGUCGGGGGGGCAGUCGCCGAGGGUGGGGUUGAUGAUUGGGACG